AGUGAACGCUGGCGGUAGGCCUAACACAUGCAAGUCGAACGGCAGCACAGUAAGAGCUUGCUCGUACGGGUGGCGAGUGGCGUACGGGUGAGGAAUACAUCGGAAUCUACUUUUUCGUGGGGGAUAACGUAGGGAAACUUACGCUAAUACCGCAUACGACCUACGGGUGAAAGCAGGGGAUCUUCGGACCUUGCGCGAUUGAAUGAGCCGAUGUCGGAUUAGCUAGUUGGCGGGGUAAAGGCCCACCAAGGCGACGAUCCGUAGCUGGCCUGAGAGGAUGGUGAGCCACACUGGAACGGAGACACGGCCAAGACUCAUCCGGGAGGCAGCAGUGGGGAAUAUUGGACGAUGGGCGGAAGCCUGAUCCAGACAUACCGAGUGGGUGAAGAAGGCCUUCGGGUUGUAAAGCCCUUUUGUUGGGAAAGAAAAGCAGCAGGUUAAUACCCCGAUGUUCUGACGGUACCCAAAGAAUAAGCACCGGCUAACUUCGUG
Molecule: ribosomal RNA, 492 nt
Filed under: uncultured bacterium
Lineage: Bacteria
Description: partial 16S ribosomal RNA
Rfam family: Bacterial small subunit ribosomal RNA
Source: RNAcentral